RNAcentral lists this ribosomal RNA (497 nucleotides) under uncultured bacterium. Its description in RNAcentral is "partial 16S ribosomal RNA". It matches the Rfam family "Bacterial small subunit ribosomal RNA", at positions 28 to 507 of the family's 1533-position model. The record is from RNAcentral.
GAUGAACGCUGGCGGCGUACCUAAUACAUGCAAGUCGAGCGAACAGACGAGGAGCUUGCUCCUCUGACGUUAGCGGCGGACGGGUGAGUAACACGUGGAUAACCUACCUAUAAGACUGGGAUAACUUCAGGAAACCGGAGCUAAUACCGGAUAAUAUAUUGAACCGCAUGGUUCAAUAGUGAAAGACGGUUUUGCUGUCACUUAUAGAUGGAUCCGCGCCGCAUUAGCUAGUUGGUAAGGUAACGGCUUACCAAGGCGACGAUGCGUAGCCGACCUGAGAGGGUGAUCGGCCACACUGGAACUGAGACACGGUCCAGACUCCUACGGGAGGCAGCAGUAGGGAAUCUUCCGCAAUGGGCGAAAGCCUGACGGAGCAACGCCGCGUGAGUGAUGAAGGUCUUCGGAUCGUAAAACUCUGUUAUUAGGGAAGAACAAAUGUGUAAGUAACUAUGCACGUCUUGACGGUACCUAAUCAGAAAGCCACGGCUAACUACGUG